UUUUUCCAUCCAGCUGAACUCAGCAGGGAACCUGCCUGACGCUGCAGCAGGGGCUUGUGCACGAGCUCGGCGCUUGCCCCCUGUGAGGCACGGCGCUGGGCUCGCUAGCUGAGGGGCUGCUGCUGUAUUAUACAGGUGAGUGCAUGGCCUCUUCGGCUUUUUUGGUGGCCUUCUCGAUUUUUUCAGGAGGCUGCCACCACCACACGUGUGCCUGAGGAGAGUGUGAGCCCAACUAUCUGAGCUGUGCCAAUGUGCCCAGAGGUGCUCGUGAGGCUGUGUGAAGAUGCCCAUCAUUUACUGGGAGGCGAGCGCAUCCAGCCCAGCGUGCUCGCUGGCUCCGAAGUUAAACCCUGCAAUUUGGAUCAACUUCAGCUUUUUUCCUCACUCUAAACCCUCUCUCCUGCAUUGUUCCCCUUACGUCCCUCCACACGGCCCUGUCCUGGUGGCAGUGGGAGCUGUGGGUCGCUGCCCACGGCCGGGCCAGCGAUGCGGAGCGGUGCGGGUUAGCGAGCAUCCGAGGCUGAGGGCUCGUCCCUGAAUGCACAUUGUUCUCGAAGCUCCCAGGACCAGAGGGGAGAAUAGUUGAACUGUUUACAAUAUUGUUUCAUAGGCUGCUAAAAAGCGGCCGUCUGUUUUUCAGAAGCGCAGCGAAACGUUUAUGAGCGUGGGACCUGCUCCAGCUCUCUGCCGCGGAGCUCUCGCGCCGGGGCCAUCCCGCGCCACGCGCCAGCCGGUGUGCGCUGCUCACAAAGGGGUUGCAGGACACACACACCUCCUCCCUUUUCCCAGAUGACGAUCUUCCAGGUGCCCUGAUUUACAGAGCAACCAGGCUGGACCAGCCCCAUCCUGCUGUGUUCGUUGAGCCGUGGUGAGGCCGCAGCCGGGGAGCGCCGAGGACAUCGGGCACGGCGUCCUGUGGGUCUGCUCACCGCAUCUGCCUUGCAGCGACUGCUUCUGGGGAGCCCCAGCCCCUUCCUCUAUUUCUGCACUGUGUGUGUGCCCCUGUGCUGCUGCAGAGCUACCAACAGCUGCUCCUGCCCUUACCUCUGAUAAUUCACGUUCGUCGUCUUAAGUUUGUGCGUUUAAUUGAAAGCAAAUUAAUAGCACAGCAGCUUUUUUCUCUCAUGCAAGAGGAGAGGUCGUAUAUCUGCCUCCGUGCUUUUACGGCUUCGUGUUGGUUAUUUCCAGCGCUGCCGGCUGCUCCUCAUGUGGGAGUUAGAGCAGGUCCUUCCAAAAAGUGACCUGUUUUUUUCCCAUGAAGAGACUUUGACGCAGGAUCACUCCAAAGCUCAUUAAGGUCGUUAAAAAUAUUUAUUUUAGGCAGAUGGAUGCUCUAACCAGAAUUGUAACCCAGUUGUAGCUAAAUGCAGGAAUAAAUCAGAAUUUGAGUUUUACUGUGAUGGCCA
Molecule: long non-coding RNA, 1406 nt
Filed under: Anas platyrhynchos platyrhynchos (common mallard)
Lineage: Eukaryota; Metazoa; Chordata; Aves; Anseriformes; Anatidae
Description: lncRNA (ENSAPLG00000017281.1)
Source: RNAcentral